Molecule: ribosomal RNA, 243 nt
Filed under: Enterobacter cloacae
Lineage: Bacteria; Pseudomonadati; Pseudomonadota; Gammaproteobacteria; Enterobacterales; Enterobacteriaceae
Description: partial 23S ribosomal RNA
Rfam family: Bacterial large subunit ribosomal RNA
Source: RNAcentral
GACGCAUCACUGGUGUUCGGGUUGUCAUGCCAAUGGCACUGCCCGGUAGCUAAAUGCGGAAGAGAUAAGUGCUGAAAGCAUCUAAGCACGAAACUUGCCCCGAGAUGAGUUCUCCCUGACUCCUUGAGAGUCCUGAAGGAACGUUGAAGACGACGACGUUGAUAGGUCGGGUGUGUAAGCGCAGCGAUGCGUUGAGCUAACCGAUACUAAUGAACCGUGAGGCUUAACCUUACAACGCCGAAG